This 497-nucleotide ribosomal RNA is filed under the name uncultured bacterium. RNAcentral describes it as "partial 16S ribosomal RNA". It matches the Rfam family "Bacterial small subunit ribosomal RNA", at positions 28 to 507 of the family's 1533-position model. The record is from RNAcentral.
GAUGAACGAUGGCGGCGUGCCUAAUACAUGCAAGUCGAGCGAACGGACGAGAAGCUUGCUUCUCUGAUGUUAGCGGCGGACGGGUGGGUAACACGUGGAUAACCUACCUAUAAGACUGGGAUAACUUCGGGAAACCGGAGCUAAUACCGGAUAAUAUUUUGAACCGCAUGGUUCAAAAGUGAAAGACGGUCUUGCUGUCACUUAUAGAUGGAUCCGCGCUGCAUUAGCUAGUUGGUAAGGUAACGGCUUACCAAGGCAACGAUGCAUAGCCGACCUGAGAGGGUGAUCGGUCACACUGGAACUGAGACACGGUCCAGACUCCUACGGGAGGCAGCAGUAGGGAAUCUUCCGCAAUGGGCGAAAGCCUGACGGAGCAACGCCGCGUGAGUGAUGAAGGUCUUCGGAUCGUAAAACUCUGUUAUUAGGGAAGAACAUAUGUGUAAGUAACUGUGCACAUCUUGACGGUACCUAAUCAGAAAGCCACGGCUAACUACGUG